Molecule: ribosomal RNA, 1204 nt
Filed under: Chryseobacterium sp.
Lineage: Bacteria; Pseudomonadati; Bacteroidota; Flavobacteriia; Flavobacteriales; Weeksellaceae
Description: bacterial SSU rRNA
Rfam family: Bacterial small subunit ribosomal RNA
Source: RNAcentral
UACCCCAUAAUAUACUGGAUGGCAUCAUUCGGUAUUGAAAACUCCGGUGGAUAGAGAUGGGCACGCGCAAGAUUAGAUAGUUGGUGAGGUAACGGCUCACCAAGUCUGCGAUCUUUAGGGGGCCUGAGAGGGUGAUCCCCCACACUGGUACUGAGACACGGACCAGACUCCUACGGGAGGCAGCAGUGAGGAAUAUUGGACAAUGGGUGAGAGCCUGAUCCAGCCAUCCCGCGUGAAGGACGACGGCCCUAUGGGUUGUAAACUUCUUUUGUAUAGGGAUAAACCUACUCUCGUGAGAGUAGCUGAAGGUACUAUACGAAUAAGCACCGGCUAACUCCGUGCCAGCAGCCGCGGUAAUACGGAGGGUGCAAGCGUUAUCCGGAUUUAUUGGGUUUAAAGGGUCCGUAGGCGGAUUUGUAAGUCAGUGGUGAAAUCUCACAGCUUAACUGUGAAACUGCCAUUGAUACUGCAAGUCUUGAGUGUUGUUGAAGUAGCUGGAAUAAGUAGUGUAGCGGUGAAAUGCAUAGAUAUUACUUAGAACACCAAUUGCGAAGGCAGGUUACUAAGCAACAACUGACGCUGAUGGACGAAAGCGUGGGGAGCGAACAGGAUUAGAUACCCUGGUAGUCCACGCCGUAAACGAUGCUAACUCGUUUUUGGGCUUUCGGGUUCAGAGACUAAGCGAAAGUGAUAAGUUAGCCACCUGGGGAGUACGAACGCAAGUUUGAAACUCAAAGGAAUUGACGGGGGCCCGCACAAGCGGUGGAUUAUGUGGUUUAAUUCGAUGAUACGCGAGGAACCUUACCAAGGCUUAAAUGGGAAAUGACAGGUUUAGAAAUAGACUUUUCUUCGGACAUUUUUCAAGGUGCUGCAUGGUUGUCGUCAGCUCGUGCCGUGAGGUGUUAGGUUAAGUCCUGCAACGAGCGCAACCCCUGUCACUAGUUGCCAUCAUUAAGUUGGGGACUCUAGUGAGACUGCCUACGCAAGUAGAGAGGAAGGUGGGGAUGACGUCAAAUCAUCACGGCCCUUACGCCUUGGGCCACACACGUAAUACAAUGGCCGGUACAGAGGGCAGCUACACAGCGAUGUGAUGCAAAUCUCGAAAGCCGGUCUCAGUUCGGAUUGGAGUCUGCAACUCGACUCUAUGAAGCUGGAAUCGCUAGUAAUCGCGCAUCAGCCAUGGCGCGGUGAAUACGUUCCCGGG